UAGGGAAUCUUCGGCAAUGGGGGGAACCCUGACCGAGCAACGCCGCGUGAGUGAAGAAGGUUUUCGGAUCGUAAAGCUCUGUUGUUAAGGAAGAACGAGUGUGAGAAUGGAAAGUUCAUACUGUGACGGUACUUAACCAGAAAGGGACGGCUAACUACGUGCCAGCAGCCGCGGUAAUACGUAGGUCCCGAGCGAUGUCCGGAUUUAUUGGGCGUAAAGCGAGCGCAGGCGGUCAAUUAAGUCUGAUGUGAAAGCCCCCGGCUCAACCGGGGAGGGUCAUUGGAAACUGGUUGACUUGAGUGCAGAAGAGGAGAGUGGAAUUCCAUGUGUAGCGGUGAAAUGCGUAGAUAUAUGGAGGAACACCAGUGGCGAAGGCGACUCUCUGGUCUGUAACUGACGCUGAGGCUCGAAAGCGUGGGUAGCAAACAGG
Molecule: ribosomal RNA, 430 nt
Filed under: Bacteroidota bacterium
Lineage: Bacteria; Pseudomonadati; Bacteroidota
Description: Bacteroidetes bacterium partial 16S ribosomal RNA
Rfam family: Bacterial small subunit ribosomal RNA
Source: RNAcentral